UACGGAGGGUGCAAGCAUUGAUCGGAAUUACUGGGCGUAAAGGGCGCGUAGGCGGUGAGAUAAGUCAGAUGUGAAAUUCCGGGGCUCGACCCCGGAGCUGCAUUUGAAACUGUUUCGCUAGAGGUUAGUUAGGGAAAACGGAAUUCCACGUGUAGCGGUGAAAUGCGUAGAUAUGUGGAAGAACACCAGUGGUGAAGACGGUUUUCUGGGCUAAUACUGACGCUGAGGCGCGAAAGCAAGGGGAGCAAACAGG
Molecule: ribosomal RNA, 253 nt
Filed under: uncultured bacterium
Lineage: Bacteria
Description: partial 16S ribosomal RNA
Rfam family: Bacterial small subunit ribosomal RNA
Source: RNAcentral